GACGAACGCUGGCGGCGUGCUUAACACAUGCAAGUCGAACGAAGAGCGAUGGAAGCUUGCUUCUAUCAAUCUUAGUGGCGAACGGGUGAGUAACGCGUAAUCAACCUGCCCUUCAGAGGGGGACAACAGUUGGAAACGACUGCUAAUACCGCAUACGAUCUAACCUCGGCAUCGAGGAAAGAUGAAAGGUGGCCUCUAUGUAUAAGCUAUCACUGAAGGAGGGGAUUGCGUCUGAUUAGCUAGUUGGAGGGGUAACGGCCCACCAAGGCGAGGAUCAGUAGCCGGUCUGAGAGGAUGAGCGGCCACAUUGGGACUGAGACACGGCCCAGACUCCUACGGGAGGCAGCAGUGGGGAAUCUUCCGCAAUGGGCGAAAGUCUGACGGAGCAACGCCGCGUGAGUGAUGACGGCCUUCGGGUUGUAAAGCUCUGUUAAUCGGGACGAAAGGCCUUCUUGCGAAUAGUGAGAAGGAUUGACGGUACCGGAAUAGAAAGCCACGGCUAACUACGUG
This 510-nucleotide ribosomal RNA is filed under the name uncultured bacterium. Its description in RNAcentral is "partial 16S ribosomal RNA". It matches the Rfam family "Bacterial small subunit ribosomal RNA", at positions 28 to 507 of the family's 1533-position model. The record is from RNAcentral.